RNAcentral lists this ribosomal RNA (440 nucleotides) under uncultured bacterium. Its description in RNAcentral is "partial 16S ribosomal RNA". It matches the Rfam family "Bacterial small subunit ribosomal RNA", at positions 338 to 795 of the family's 1533-position model. The record is from RNAcentral.
CCUACGGGUGGCAGCAGUGGGGAAUAUUGCACAAUGGGGGAGACCCUGAUGCAGCGACGCCGCGUGAGUGAAGAAGUAUUUCAGUAUGUAAAGCUCUAUCAGCCAGGAAGCAAAUGAGGGUACCUGAUUAAGGAGCCGCGGCUAACUACGUACCAGGAGCCGCGGUAAUACGGAGGGAGCAAGCGUUAUCCGGAUUUAGUGGGUGUAAAGGGAGCGGAGACGGCAGCACAAGUCUGGAGUGAAAGGCCGGGGCUUAACCCCGGAACUGCUUUGGAAACUGGGCAGCUAGAGUGCAGGAGAGGUAAGUGGAAUGCCUAGUGUAGCGGUGAAAUGCGUAGAUAUUAGGAGGAACACCAGUGGCGAAGGCGGCUUACUGGACUGUAACUGACGUUGAGGCUCGAAAGCGUGGGGAGCAAACAGGAUUAGAUACCCCGGUAGUC